CGGCGUAUAGCUCAGCCUGAGUAGAGCGCUACCUUUGGGAGGUAGAUGUCGCAGGUUCGAAUCCUGCUGCGCCGA
Molecule: transfer RNA, 75 nt
Filed under: Microbulbifer sp. ZGT114
Lineage: Bacteria; Pseudomonadati; Pseudomonadota; Gammaproteobacteria; Cellvibrionales; Microbulbiferaceae
Rfam family: tRNA
About the family: Transfer RNA (tRNA) molecules are approximately 80 nucleotides in length. Their secondary structure includes four short double-helical elements and three loops (D, anti-codon, and T loops). Further hydrogen bonds mediate the characteristic L-shaped molecular structure. tRNAs have two regions of fundamental functional importance: the anti-codon, which is responsible for specific mRNA codon recognition, and the 3' end, to which the tRNAs corresponding amino acid is attached (by aminoacyl-tRNA synthetases). tRNAs cope with the degeneracy of the genetic code in two manners: having more than one tRNA (with a specific anti-codon) for a particular amino acid; and 'wobble' base-pairing, i.e. permitting non-standard base-pairing at the 3rd anti-codon position.
Source: Rfam by way of RNAcentral